UUUGAUUUGACAAUCACAUUAACAUCAUGAAUUGUAAAUAGAUGGAAAAAUUAGGGCACAGAUUCUGAUGCCUAUCCACACUGCUCAAUUUUCUGUGUGAAUAUCAGAGAAUUUAGGAGGAUAAGACAAAAUUGUAGGAAAGACAACUUAUAAGAAAUCUAAAUUUCCAAGAUAAUGUAUAUGUAAGAAUAUGUACAUAUGUAAUUUUACCUACAGAGCAUCUUUCCCAUCCGUUUUGGUACAAUAAAGCUGGAAAAUGUACCAUUACUGUUGUUUAACAGGGAUAGAUUCUGAGCAACAAAGAAAAGUAUAAUACCAUAUUAACUAAAUAAUUGAAUUAAACAAGAGUGUAAAGAAGUGAGUAGUUCCACUCUUUGUACUGCUAGUGAUAUAAACUCCAUGAAAAAAAUCCCCAUAUAGGAAUUGUAUAUGCAAUUUAUUACACUUCAUUCAUUUAUUCUUUCUAUCAAUACUGAUCCCCUAUCAUACGUUGAGUAGUAUACUUCAGUGUUCCUAGCCAGAUAGUAUAGCUAGAGGAACUUAAUAUGGUAGUUAAAUGGAGAGUUUUCCUCUAAGUUGCCAUAACAUUGCUUUGCAAAUAGUUCUGUGCAAUUGAAAGAACCUGGACUGGCUGCAAUUUUGUCCCCACUUGCUUUUGACCUUAGAUGGGACACUUGGUUGUUCUUUCCCUUAGAAUCCACCUCUUGGGGACUGGGAUGAUAAUCUCAACCAGUCACAGGUUUGUGGGAAAAUCAAGUGAGACAAUUUACGUUACAGGUGGUUAAAAAUAAAUUAGAGUCACAAAGCCAUGGUUCGAAAAAAAUACUAUUUUAGUUUAACUGGAAAUAAUUGUGGUUGAGGCUGUAGCUGGCACCCUAGCUGAGCUCAAAUCCUGAAGUUAAGAGUUGCUGCAUUGGGCCCUUGCUUGAUUUUUAUUAGAAAAGAAUAAAUCAUUCUGCAAUUUACUGCUACAAAAAGAGAAACUCUCCUUACUGUAGUGGAACAUAUUACAUAUUAUAAAAACCAAGUUUAGAUACCAAUUAAGCAAAUAAAUAUUUAGUGAGCAUUUAUCCUUUACCAAUGACUCUUUUUGUGAAGACACAAAGAUGAACAAGCUCUGAUCCCUGACUCUGAGAAGUUCAGUUCUGAGAAGUCUAUUUCCCAUGUCCCCACACCUCAUCUGUACGUGAAGAUAAGCCAGAUGGUCUUGAAGGGCUCACCUCAUCCCAAAAACCAGUGGUUCCACACCCAGAUCACAGGAGGUGAGCUACCUGCCCAACUAGCGACAUGGAAUCUUCAGCUUACUCAAUUAUUGAAAUAAUUGAGUAACAAUAAAUAGCCUUUGUCUUUUGCAGGUGGAAAUCAAAGAAUUUCACAGAAAUCAGUAAUUGUCAGAAACAUCGAUAAUUUUACUUUUGUACCCUUUAAUUAUUUUGCACACAAAAUAUGUGUAGGUUAACCAAGCAAUUAAAUAAAACACACAUACUGAUUUGAAUUUUUAUACCAGAAGCACUUCAUAUGUAACAAUGCGUAUAUCUGGUAAUAAGGAAAGGUAAUUUCUAUGAAUACGGGCUCAGUAAAUGUUUGCAGAAUGAUUGGUAAUGAAUUAAUUAACUGAAUCAUUCCCUUCCUUGUCAAAUAGGAAUUAUGCAAACCAAACUACUUUUGUCAUCAGUUGCCAUGAGAUUAAAAGACAUUGAAAUGAUGCACGUAAGAAAAAAUUUCAAAGUUAAAAACAACUAUGCAAGUGAUAGAAUAAUUGGCUUCCAACUCACGGAGGACAAGGCACAAUAUGUGAUUUUUCUGGCUGCCAGCGACAACCUUCUAGGGUAUUUGUAAUAACAAGAGGAGGCUUGUGAAGCAAUUAGCAGGGUGCCAGGCAAAUAGCAAGUGCUCAAUAAAUACAGCAUCAUCUUUCAAUUAUCUAGCUUUAAGUUACCAUAUUUUCCUUUUAGAGACUACAUCUCUAGGAAUCAUCACACCAGGCAACAGAUUACAGGUCCCACCUGAAGCCUAUGUAGACAUUUCUGCUUCCACACCCACAAAGAGAAUUGGUAAUUCCUUUCUUUCUGUCUCCUUAGAAUUUUUCCAAAU
Molecule: long non-coding RNA, 2094 nt
Filed under: Homo sapiens (human)
Lineage: Eukaryota; Metazoa; Chordata; Mammalia; Primates; Hominidae
Description: HSALNT0345345
Source: RNAcentral